This 197-nucleotide ribosomal RNA is filed under the name uncultured Sporolactobacillus sp. Its description in RNAcentral is "partial 16S ribosomal RNA". It matches the Rfam family "Bacterial small subunit ribosomal RNA", at positions 335 to 523 of the family's 1533-position model. Lineage: Bacteria; Bacillati; Bacillota; Bacilli; Caryophanales; Sporolactobacillaceae. The record is from RNAcentral.
ACUCCUACGGGAGGCAGCAGUAGGGAAUCUUCGGCAAUGGGCGAAAGCCUGACCGAGCAACGCCGCGUGAGCGAUGAAGGCCUUCGGGUCGUAAAGCUCUGUUGUUAGGGAAGAACAAGUAUGAGUUGAAUAAGCUCAUGCCUUGACGGUACCUAACGAGAAAGCCACGGCUAACUACGUGCCAGCAGCCGCGGUAA